Long non-coding RNA from Sinocyclocheilus anshuiensis, 88 nucleotides. RefSeq lists it as uncharacterized. Lineage: Eukaryota; Metazoa; Chordata; Actinopteri; Cypriniformes; Cyprinidae. The record is from RefSeq and is a predicted model, not a curated record. The transcript is spliced from 4 exons.
CUAAGUUAAGUGGUCGAAAUAUUUAUAUGUAUUUAUAUCACCUGUGGAAGGCUUAGGACCAUAGAAUUGUCCGAGCGAUCCCAUACCU